UUGGGUAGGGGAGCGUUCUGUAAGCCUGUGAAGGUGUGCUGUGAGGCAUGCUGGAGGUAUCAGAAGUGCGAAUGCUGACAUAAGUAACGAUAAAGCGGGUGAAAAGCCCGCUCGCCGGAAGACCAAGGGUUCCUGUCCAACGUUAAUCGGGGCAGGGUGAGUCGACCCCUAAGGCGAGGCCGAAAGGCGUAGUCGAUGGGAAACAGGUUAAUAUUCCUGUACUUGGUGUUACUGCGAAGGGGGGACGGAGAAGGCUAUGUUGGCCGGGCGACGGUUGUCCCGGUUUAAGCGUGUAGGCUGGUUUUCCAGGCAAAUCCGGAAAAUCAAGGCUGAGGCGUGAUGAC
RNAcentral lists this ribosomal RNA (344 nucleotides) under Escherichia coli. Its description in RNAcentral is "partial 23S ribosomal RNA". It matches the Rfam family "Bacterial large subunit ribosomal RNA", at positions 1224 to 1570 of the family's 2925-position model. Lineage: Bacteria; Pseudomonadati; Pseudomonadota; Gammaproteobacteria; Enterobacterales; Enterobacteriaceae. The record is from RNAcentral.